This 223-nucleotide ribosomal RNA is filed under the name uncultured bacterium. RNAcentral describes it as "partial 16S ribosomal RNA". It matches the Rfam family "Bacterial small subunit ribosomal RNA", at positions 15 to 226 of the family's 1533-position model. The record is from RNAcentral.
GAUCAUGGCUCAGGAUGAACGCUAGCUACAGGCUUAACACAUGCAAGUCGUGGGGCAGCAUGGGAGAUGCUUGCAUUUCCCGAUGGCGACCGGCGCACGGGUGAGUAACGCGUAUCCAACCUGCCCUUCACUCCGGCACAGCCCAUCGAGAGACGGAUUAAUGCGGGAUGCAGUCAGAAAGAUGCAUAUUAAUUUGACGAAAGGCCUUCGGCCGGUGAGGGAG